This 497-nucleotide ribosomal RNA is filed under the name uncultured bacterium. RNAcentral describes it as "partial 16S ribosomal RNA". It matches the Rfam family "Bacterial small subunit ribosomal RNA", at positions 28 to 507 of the family's 1533-position model. The record is from RNAcentral.
GACGAACGCUGGCGGCGUGCCUAAUACAUGCAAGUUGAGCGCUGAAGGUUGGUAUUUGUUCCAUCUGUAUGUUCCGCGCACGUGUGUGUCACGCGUGGAGCCUCUCCCUUUGCGCGGGGUACCACUUUUGGAAACUAAUUCUUAUACCGCAUAAAAACUUUAUACAUAAGUUUUACGUUUGAAAGAUGCUAUUGCAUCUCUCAAAUAUGAUCCCGUGUUGUAUUAGCUAGUUGGUGAGGUAAAGGCUCACCAAGGCGAUGAUACAUAGCCGACCGGAGAGGGUGAUAGGCCACAUUGGGACGGAGACACGGCCCAAACUCCUACGGGAGGCAGCAGUAGGGAAUCUUCGGCAAUGGACGGAAGUCUGACCGAGCAACGCCGCGUGAGUGAAGAAGGUUGUCGGAUCGUAAAGCUCUGUUGGUAGAGAAGAACGAGGGUGAGAGUGGAAAGCUCACCAAGUGACGGUAACUAACCAGAAAGGGACGGCUAACUACGUG